This 738-nucleotide long non-coding RNA is filed under the name Mus spicilegus (steppe mouse). RNAcentral describes it as "lncRNA (ENSMSIG00000011185.1)". The record is from RNAcentral. Lineage: Eukaryota; Metazoa; Chordata; Mammalia; Rodentia; Muridae.
CACUGUUGCCUGCACACCUUAGAUGUUGUGAUGACUGAUCAGAUACUAACACACGCACCUCUGGCAGGCCUGCCUGUACCCCACGGAAGUUGGAACAUAUUGGAAUAACUGCUCCCCUGGCUGUCAAGGAUUACCUGGGCCUCUGGACUAACAUGGCAGGAAUUGUAACUUCUUCCUCAGCUUUCUCAACGGCAGUUUUAUUUAUGCAUUUCCUUUCUUCAGUCUGUUUUGGAAGACAGGUGAUAAUUAAAUGAUUCCUGGCACCACUUCAUCCUGGAGUCUCUCUGGUCCCAGGUAGCCACCCGCACAAUGGUGGUGUCUACUGCCCUCUUGUGGCGGAGGGAGUUUUUGUUCUUUCCAGUUUCUCAUCUGACAAAAAUUUCCAACAGCAGGGUGGCAGAAGUGAGUGGUCAAACAACCAGAGACCUGUUUCAGCGUGUUGAAGAGCCCAGAUGCAGAUCUCAACAGAGAGUUACCCACGUGUCAUCUGUCAUCGGAGAUGCUCUGUACAAAUAUGCCCAAAACAAAUAUGGUGCUCACGACUGAAGACUGGGCUUUUCUGGUUUUGUGAUUUGAGAGACUUUGGGAUCCUAGAAUGAAGGUCUUCUGGUAUUUAUAUUGGAAUAUGUUUUUUUGUUGCUUUUGCUACUGUCCAAGUUUUACGACUUGUUUUCAUUUAUGUAUGCAUUUGUGUAGAAAGCAUACCAAGUGUAUGCAGAUGCCUGCAGUAGCCAGAAG